This 301-nucleotide ribosomal RNA is filed under the name uncultured bacterium. Its description in RNAcentral is "partial 16S ribosomal RNA". It matches the Rfam family "Bacterial small subunit ribosomal RNA", at positions 509 to 807 of the family's 1533-position model. The record is from RNAcentral.
CAGCCGCCACGGUAAUACGAAGGGGGCUAGCGUUGCUCGGAAUUACUGGGCGUAAAGGGAGCGUAGGCGGAUCGUUAAGUUGGGGGUGAAAGCCCGGGGCUCAACCUCGGAAUUGCCUUCAAUACUGGCGAUCUUGAGUAUGGAAGAGGUAUGUGGAACUCCGAGUGUAGAGGUGAAAUUCGUAGAUAUUCGGAAGAACACCAGUGGCGAAGGCGACAUACUGGUCCAUUACUGACGCUGAGGCUCGAAAGCGUGGGGAGCAAACAGGAUUAGAGACCCCUGUAGUCCCUGUCUCUUAUAC